This 603-nucleotide ribosomal RNA is filed under the name uncultured bacterium. RNAcentral's name for it is "bacterial SSU rRNA". The stretch from base 1 to 509 matches the Rfam family "Bacterial small subunit ribosomal RNA", at positions 338 to 873 of the family's 1533-position model. The record is from RNAcentral.
CCUACGGGAGGCAGCAGUGGGGAAUCUUGCACAAUGGAGGAAACUCUGAUGCAGCGACGCCGCGUGAACGAUGAAGCCCUUCGGGGUGUAAAGUUCUUUCGCCAGGAACGAUAAUGACGGUACCUGGAGAAGAAGCUGCGGCUAACUACGUGCCAGCAGCCGCGGUAAUACGUAGGCAGCAAGCGUUGUUCGGAAUUAUUGGGCGUAAAGAGUAUGUAGGUGGUGUCGUAAGUUUGGUGUGAAAUCUCCUGGCUUAACUGGGAGGGUGCGCCGAAGACUGCGAUGCUUGAGUAUGGGAGAGGGAAUCGGAAUUCCUGGUGUAGCGGUGAAAUGCGUAGAUAUCAGGAGGAACACCUGUGGUGUAGACGGGUUCCUGGACCAUUACUGACACUGAGAUACGAAAGCGUGGGUAGCAAACAGGAUUAGAUACCCUGGUAGUCCACGCCCUAAACGAUGCACACUUGGUGUGAGCAUCUAGUUGUUGUGCGGNGCUACGCGUAGUGUGCGCCGUGGGAGGUACGGUCGCGAGGCGUGUAACGUACGUAAGUUAGUUAAGUUAGUUACGGCGUGAGACGUUGCGACGGACGACGACGAGGGAGGAGG